Molecule: long non-coding RNA, 269 nt
Organism: Anneissia japonica
Lineage: Eukaryota; Metazoa; Echinodermata; Crinoidea; Comatulida; Comatulidae
Exons: 4
Source: RefSeq, a predicted model, not a curated record
CGAAUACAGUGGCGUAUGUAAAAAUGUCGCUCACUCGCUGGCUUAACCGUAAAGAACCUUUUUUUGUUUUAUUAUUGUAAUAGCCACCUUCCUGUUGGUACUGAGUAUUCUUGUGCUUAUCUACCUCAUCUGUUAUGGUGAUUGGUCAAGUUUAAGCACUGGGUUAAAGUGUACAUAUGUGGUGUUAUGUAUUUUGGGACUUGGUAUAAUUGUUUUGAUACUUGGUAAGUUUUAUAUGUAUCAUAAGAGAACUUCACUGAAAAUCGUCA